Molecule: long non-coding RNA, 637 nt
Organism: Myotis brandtii (Brandt's bat)
Lineage: Eukaryota; Metazoa; Chordata; Mammalia; Chiroptera; Vespertilionidae
Exons: 3
Source: RefSeq, a predicted model, not a curated record
CCCGGUCUUCCUGUGCUCGGGGCAGCGGGUCACUGCUCACCGGUGGACACUGCGGCUGGGUCUCUCCGGGCAGGGAGGACGCGGACUGGCCGGCACCGCCACCAGUCACAGACUCCGAGAGCAAGAGGCUCAGCCUGACCCGGAUGCGCCUCGCCGAGGACCGGAAGUGACGCAGCGCCGAGCUGGUCGCCGGGAGGGGCGGAGCUCUGGUUGCUAUGCUGUAGCGGCCUCCGGCUGGAGGACGCCAAGUACCGGCCCGGAGGGGAGAAAUGGGCUUGGUGGGCCCUUUGACCGCCUCGGUGGCCUUUCUCGGGAAACUUCCACCCGCCCCUAAUGCUGAAAAGAGAAAUGGAAUAAAAAUCUAAAUGAUGAAGACAAAGACCUGAGAGGACAAUGUUCAAGGGAUAUCCUUCCAGAGAGCAGAAUUAAGGUUGAAUCAAGAGGAAUAUUUAUUGUGAUUAUUAUGUCCCUUCUCCACUGUUGUUUAUUAUAAGAGAGUGGAGAGGCCACUUCUAGACUAGGAAGAACCACUUCUAGACUAGGAAGAAGACCCAACCACACCUGGAGACUCUGGAGAUUCAACUGAAAGCAAUGACUGGAUAGGAGCCUACUUGCAUCUAUAGAAUUCUCUGGAAAA